AUGGUGUUUGUUAAGUGCUUACUAUGUGUCAAGCAGAUAGAUACAAGAUACCAGGGAAUCGAGUUGUCCCACGUGGAGCUCACAGUCUUAAUCCCCAUUUUACAGAUGAGGUAACUGAGGCCCAGAGAAGUUAAGUGACUCGACCAAAGUAACACAGCUGAUGUGGAGGAACCGGGAUGAGAACCCACGACCUUUUGACUCCCUAGGUCCGGCUCUUUCCACUAAGCCACGCUGCCUUUCUCCUACACCCUUCUCCCUCUCCUUCCCCGCCUUCCUCCUCACCCCUCUCUCCUUCCUUACCUUUUCUGCCCUCUAACCCCUUCUUCCCUUCUCUCCCCGCCCUCCUCCUCCUCCUCACCUCCUCUCUCCAUCCCACCCCUUUCCCCUGCGCUUACAACAGUGUCUGGCACUUAGAACAGUAUUUGGCACGUAGUAAGCGCUUAACAAGUACCGUCAUCAUUAUUACCUCUCCCGUCCGGCCCCCCCCCCCCCCCGCCCUCUUCACCCCCCCCCUUCUCUCACCCCUCCCUGUCACCCGCCCCCUUUUCCCACACACAGACACACACACAUAGACACACCCACCCGCCCUCACCUAGGGCGAGCAGCCCCAUAUAAAGGGCUGGUCUGGGCCCAAAGGCCCAGAACGGACUGGCUUCUCUUGGCCCGGCCUCGCCCGGCUUUUCAGAGAAGACUCACCUGUCUGGAGCAGGACCCCCACCCAACCAUGAGACCCCGGAUCCCGGCCGGCCUGCUGCUGCUGCUGUUCCUGGGCCUCCUGAUCUUGGUCCUCCCACCUGCAGAGGGGGCCAAUCCCAGAAGGCUGAACUGCUGUUCCAGAAUCAUGGGGAUAAUAAAAGCCAUGAAAGAAGCAUGCCCGGUUGGUCCUUUCCUCCUCAGAAUCUCGCUCCCACAGUGAGCUCCAGGGAGGGGGCUGGAGGAGGGAGGAGAGUCCCCAACGGCUGGUGCCAACAGUCCAAUUCCAAUGCAGUUCUCCACCCCUUCCCUGCAUGGAGAGCGCCAUAGGCCAGCAGAGGCAGGAAGAAAAGCUUCAGGCCUGGGCGUCUCCAUUGCCAAAGCCCCGAUUUCCCUUCCCGAGCUCCUUCCUGGCCUAAUUUACCUGCCAGGAGUCCCAGCAACUCUUUCCUCACCUCUGUUCUUGGACCGGGUAGAAAACUACCUGGAUAAACACUGUCAAUAAACCUUUCGCCCAACACAGCUUCAGGCCAGUCUGUUCUCUGGGUAGGGCCUAGGGAGGAGAACAGUGGCCACUGACCUGAAACGCCCUCCUCCUCAAAUCCUACAGACAAUUACCCUUCCCCAUUUUAAAGCCUUAUUGAAGCCUCAUCUCCUCCUAGAGGCCUUCCUUAAACCAAGCCCUCCUUUCCUCUUCUCCCAUUCCUUUCUGCGUUGCCCUGACCUGCUCCCUUUAUUCCUUCCCCCUCCCAGUCCCACAGCACUUAUCUUUAAUUUAUUUAUAUUAAUGUCUGUCUCCCAUUCUAGACCGCAAGUUCAUUUUGUGCAGGGACUGUGUGUGCUUAUUGUUGUACUGUACUCUCCCAAAUGCUUAGUACAGUGCUCUGUACAUACUAAGUACUCAAUAAAUAUGAUUGAAUGAAUGAAUGGAAUCAGCCCAUUGGUCCGCCC
RNAcentral lists this long non-coding RNA (1644 nucleotides) under Ornithorhynchus anatinus (platypus). Its description in RNAcentral is "lncRNA (ENSOANG00000041418.1)". Lineage: Eukaryota; Metazoa; Chordata; Mammalia; Monotremata; Ornithorhynchidae. The record is from RNAcentral.